RNAcentral lists this ribosomal RNA (400 nucleotides) under phytoplankton environmental sample. RNAcentral's name for it is "partial small subunit ribosomal RNA". It matches the Rfam family "Eukaryotic small subunit ribosomal RNA", at positions 587 to 977 of the family's 1831-position model. The record is from RNAcentral.
AGCUCCAAUAGCGUAUAUUAAAGUUGUUGCAGUUAAAAAGCUCGUAGUUGGAUUUCUGGUGAGGAUUGAGGGGUCGCUUAACUUUUAUGUUAAAUGAACAUCUUCAAUUCAUACCAUCCUUAUGGAUUAUUUUGAUUUGAUUUAUUAAUUUAGAUUGGAUUAAAAGCCAUAUCGUUUACUGUGAAAAAAUUAGAGUGUUUAAAGCAGGCUUAAUAGCUGUGAAUACAUUAGCAUGGAAUAAUAAGAUAGGACUUUGGUACUAUUUUGUUGGUUUGUAUACCAAGGUAAUGAUUAAGAGGGACAGUUGGGGGUAUUCGUAUUUAAUUGUCAGAGGUGAAAUUCUUGGAUUUAUGAAAGACGAACUACUGCGAAAGCAUUUACCAAGGAUGUUUUCAUUAAU